GUUGUAUGGUUAAGUGACUAAGCGUAUACGGUGGAUGCCUUGGCAGUUAGAGGCGAUGAAGGACGUGUAAGUCUGCGAAAAGCUGUGGUGAGCCGACAAAAUGCAUUUGAGCCACAGAUGUCCGAAUGGGGAAACCCACCUAUUUAUAGGUAUCGUUACAUGAAUAUAUAGUGUAACGAGGCGAACGAGGGGAACUGAAACAUCUAAGUACCCUUAGGAAAAGAAAUCAACCGAGAUUCCCCUAGUAGCGGCGAGCGAACGGGGAUUAGCCCUUAAGCAAUUAUGAACGUAGUGGAAGCCUCUGGGAAGUGGCGCGAUACAAGGUGAUAGCCCUGUACACGAAGUGUUUGUUUUUGUGAAAUCGAGUAGGUCGGGACACGUGUUAUCUUGACUGAAUAUGGGGGGACCAUCCUCCAAGGCUAAAUACUCCUAACUGACCGAUAGUGAACCAGUACCGUGAGGGAAAGGCGAAAAGAACCCCUGUGAGGGGAGUGAAAUAGAACCUGAAACCGUAUACGUACAAGCAGUGGGAGCAGACUUGUUCUGUGACUGCGUACCUUUUGUAUAAUGGGUCAGCGACUUAUAUUUAGUAGCAAGGUUAAGCGAAUAGCGGAGCCGUAGCGAAAGCGAGUGUUAACUGCGCGUUUAGUUGCUAGGUAUAGACCCGAAACCCGGUGAUCUAGCCAUGGGCAGGUUGAAGGUUGAGUAACAUCAACUGGAGGACCGAACCCACUAACGUUGAAAAGUUAGGGGAUGACUUGUGGCUGGGGGUGAAAGGCCAAUCAAACCGGGAGAUAGCUGGUUCUCCCCGAAAUCUAUUUAGGUAGAGCCUCGGACGAAUUCCAUUGGGGGUAGAGCACUGUUAAGGCUAGGGGGUCAUCCCGACUUACCAACCCUUUGCAAACUCCGAAUACCAAUGAGAACUAUCCGGGAGACACACGGCGGGUGCUAACGUCCGUCGUGAAGAGGGAAACAACCCAGACCGCCAGCUAAGGUCCCAAAAUAUUGCUAAGUGGGAAACGAUGUGGGAAGGCAUAGACAGCUAGGAGGUUGGCUUAGAAGCAGCCACCCUUUAAAGAAAGCGUAAUAGCUCACUAGUCGAGUCGGCCUGCGCGGAAGAUGUAACGGGGCUAAGCAAUAUACCGAAGCUGCGGAUACGUGUUUACACGUAUGGUAGGGGAGCGUUGUGUAAGUGGAUGAAGGUGGAUUGAGAAGUCUGCUGGACAUAUCACAAGUGCGAAUGCUGACAUGAGUAACGAUAAUGGGAGUGAAAAACUCCCACGCCGGAAGACCAAGGUUUCCUGUCCCAUGCUAAUCAGGGCAGGGUAAGUCGGCCCCUAAGGCGAGGCAGAAAUGCGUAGUCGAUGGGAAACGGAUUAAUAUUUCCGUACUUAUAUAAUCAGUGAUGGAGGGACGGAGAAGGCUAAGCAAGCUUGGCGUUGGUUGUCCAAGUGAAAGCAAGUAGGCCGAGUGUUUAGGUAAAUCCGGACGCUUAAAGCUGAGAUGCGAGACGAGCUACUACGGUAGUGAAGUUGUUGAUGCCCUGCUUCCAGGAAAAGCUUCUAAACUUAUGAUUAUAUAAACCGUACCCCAAACCGACACAGGUGGUCAGGUAGAGAAUACUAAGGCGCUUGAGAGAACUCGGGUGAAGGAACUCGGCAAAAUUGUACCGUAACUUCGGGAGAAGGUACGCCCUUGUUUGUGAUAGGACUUGCUCCUUGAGCAGAUGAGGGCCGCAGUGACCAGGUGGCUGGGACUGUUUAUUAAAAACACAGCACUCUGCUAACUCGCAAGAGGACGUAUAGGGUGUGACACCUGCCCGGUGCCGGAAGGUUAAUUGAUGGGGUUAUCUUCGGAGAAGCUCUUGAUCGAAGCCCCGGUAAACGGCGGCCGUAACUAUAACGGUCCUAAGGUAGCGAAAUUCCUUGUCGGGUAAGUUCCGACCUGCACGAAUGGUGUAACCAUGGCCACGCUGUCUCCACCCGAGACUCAGUGAAAUUGAAAUCGCAGUGAAGAUGCUGUGUACCCGCACCUAGACGGAAAGACCCCGUGAACCUUUACUACAGCUUGGCACUGAACAUUGAACCUACAUGUGUAGGAUAGGUGGGAGGCUUCGAAGCACAGUCGCUAGAUUGUGUGGAGCCGUCCUUGAAAUACCACCCUUGUAUGUUUGAUGUUCUAACAUUGGUCCCUUAUCGGGAUUAUGGACAGUGUCUGGUGGGUAGUUUGACUGGGGCGGUCUCCUCCCAAAUAGUAACGGAGGAGCACGAAGGUUAGCUAAUCACGGUCGGACAUCGUGAGGUUAGUGCAAUGGCAUAAGCUAGCUUAACUGCGAGACAGACACGUCGAGCAGGUACGAAAGUAGGUCAUAGUGAUCCGGUGGUUCUGUAUGGAAGGGCCAUCGCUCAACGGAUAAAAGGUACUCCGGGGAUAACAGGCUGAUACCGCCCAAGAGUUCAUAUCGACGGCGGUGUUUGGCACCUCGAUGUCGGCUCAUCACAUCCUGGGGCUGAAGUCGGUCCCAAGGGUAUGGCUGUUCGCCAUUUAAAGUGGUACGCGAGCUGGGUUUAGAACGUCGUGAGACAGUUCGGUCCCUAUCUGGUGUGGGCGUUGGAUGAUUGAUGGGAGCUGCUCCUAGUACGAGAGGACCGGAGUGGACGAACCGCUGGUGUUCGGGUUGUCAUGCCAAUGGCAUUGCCCGGUAGCUACGUUCGGAACGGAUAACCGCUGAAAGCAUCUAAGCGGGAAGCCGGCCCAAAGAUGAGUCAUCCCUGACUUUUAAAGUCCGGAAGGGUUGUUAUAGACGAUGACGUUGAUAGGCAGGAUGUGGAAGCGUUGUAAGGCGUUAAGCUAACCUGUACUAAUUGCCCGAGAGGCUUAACCAUACAACGCCCAAG
This 2897-nucleotide ribosomal RNA is filed under the name Alteromonas stellipolaris. RNAcentral's name for it is "bacterial LSU rRNA". It matches the Rfam family "Bacterial large subunit ribosomal RNA". The record is from RNAcentral. Lineage: Bacteria; Pseudomonadati; Pseudomonadota; Gammaproteobacteria; Alteromonadales; Alteromonadaceae.